Podarcis lilfordi (Lilford's wall lizard) is the source of this 70-nucleotide non-coding RNA. Lineage: Eukaryota; Metazoa; Chordata; Lepidosauria; Squamata; Lacertidae. The record is from the annotation of a GenBank genome assembly.
GGAAUAGCUCAAUCAGUAGAGCAGGAAACUCUUAAUCUUGAGGUCGUGGGUUCAAGCCCCACUUUGGGCA